GUAUGUCUCAGUCAGUUGUAAUCGCUGUUCCAUUUUCCAGAUCAGCAGAUGCGACUGGGCACAGUAGUGUACAGCUGAAAUUGCAGACAUCUGGGUUCCUGGGUGAGCUUAGGAAGUGUCUCAAAAAUGGACAGCACUGCAGGACACCAAAGUUCGCCAUUGGAGGAUCCAGAAAUAAACACCUUUCACCUGGCAUCACUUACAAGACAGCUGAGAAAGAACACAGUUACAGAUGUGCUGACACAGCUAUUUUUCUGAGGAAGGUUUUCCAAUCUUGUGUCAGGUCCAGUGUCGAGAAUGAAUGGCGAGAGGACAAGUGAAAAUCUAAGUACUCAGUGAGACCGAGCAUUGAAGGCUGAGAA
Mus spicilegus (steppe mouse) is the source of this 362-nucleotide long non-coding RNA. The record is from Ensembl. NCBI's taxonomy places the organism in Eukaryota, Metazoa, Chordata, Mammalia, Rodentia, Muridae.